This 492-nucleotide ribosomal RNA is filed under the name uncultured bacterium. RNAcentral describes it as "partial 16S ribosomal RNA". It matches the Rfam family "Bacterial small subunit ribosomal RNA", at positions 29 to 507 of the family's 1533-position model. The record is from RNAcentral.
AGUGAACGCUGGCGGUAGGCCUAACACAUGCCAGUCGAACGGCAGCACAGUAAGAGCUUGCUCUUACGGGUGGCGAGUGGCGGACGGGUGAGGAAUACAUCGGAAUCUACUUUUUCGUGGGGGAUAACGUAGGGAAACUUACGCUAAUACCGCAUACGACCUACGGGUGAAAGCAGGGGGUCUUCGGACCUUGCGCGAUUGAAUGAGCCGAUGUCGGAUUAGCUAGUUGGCGGGGUAAAGGCCCACCAAGGCGACGAUCCGUAGCUGGUCUGAGAGGAUGAUCAGCCACACUGGAACUGAGACACGGUCCAGACUCCUACGGGAGGCAGCAGUGGGGAAUAUAGGACAAUGGGCGCAAGCCUGAUCCAGCCAUACCGCGUGGGUGAAGAAGGCCUUCGGGUUGUAAAGCCCUUUUGUUGGGAAAGAAAAGCAGCAGGUUAAUACCCCGCUGUUCUGACGGUACCCAAAGAAUAAGCACCGGCUAACUUCGUG